This 589-nucleotide long non-coding RNA is filed under the name Androctonus crassicauda. Lineage: Eukaryota; Metazoa; Arthropoda; Arachnida; Scorpiones; Buthidae. The record is from RNAcentral.
CUACAGUUUUAGGAAGUGUGGCAAGUGUUGUGCCUUUGGACAUAGUACCAAGGAGUGUCGAAAUGAGGACUGCUGUGCUAAGUGUUCUGGGAACCAUCUCCAGAAGGACUGUAAUAAAAAUGACUGUGAUGUGUAUUAAUUGUGUAAGAUAUAACAAGAGAUGUCGAAAUAAAUGCAAUGAAGUCAAUCCUCAUCAUCCAUCAUGGUGGUUCGGGUGCCCCUGCCACAUUUUUCAAUGUGACUUGUCAGAGGCAAGGGAGGAGAAGUGGUGAUUGCCUUAGAACUUUGUUCUUCUUGGAGCCAUUUUUAGGAUCUACGGAACAUUUUGACUUUCAGUGUGUUGCGUAACUUGACUGUUUGUUCUGGAUCCUGGAUCUGUACUUGUGUUUUAUUUGGAUCUUCAGUACAUCUUGGACCUUGGUGUGUGCCAACAUUUUCAUAGACUCUUGGAUUCUGGAUCAGGACAUUAGUUUCAUCUGUAUUUUAGUGCUUCACAGAACUUUUGCUUGACUUUUAGACUGUGUUCUACUGUCUCUUCAAUUGGACUUUAUACUUUAUGUGAAGUUUGUAAUGUGGAUCCUCACUGUGC